Non-coding RNA from Caenorhabditis elegans, 195 nucleotides. The record is from Ensembl. Lineage: Eukaryota; Metazoa; Nematoda; Chromadorea; Rhabditida; Rhabditidae.
UACACUAGACGGCGCGGCGGACACCUUGCGAGUUUCGCCUAUCGCAGUGGUAUCUGUGGGACAGGACUCCGCCCACUAGAAGAAGGGGAUGCAACUUUUUGGAGUUCUGAGCUCAGUUUUGAGGGGGAUUUUGAUAUUUGUGAUAGUUUUAAGCUAAUUUUCCAAACCUAUGGUGAAUGGACUCGACACGACAAU